This 75-nucleotide antisense RNA is filed under the name Streptomyces scopuliridis RB72. RNAcentral's name for it is "ASpks TB sRNA". It matches the Rfam family "ASpks TB sRNA". Lineage: Bacteria; Bacillati; Actinomycetota; Actinomycetes; Kitasatosporales; Streptomycetaceae. The record is from Rfam by way of RNAcentral.
CUUCACCGAACCGAGGAGCAGCGGACGCUCCGGGUCGCGGUCCCGGCCGUACGUGGCCAGCAGCGCCUGCGCCUC